ACGAACGCUGGCGGCGUGCUUAACACAUGCAAGUCGUACGGUAAGGCCCUUUCGGGGGUCCACGAGUGGCGAACGGGUGAGUAACACGUGAGUAACCUGCCCACAACUUUGGGAUAACGCUAGGAAACUGGUGCUAAUACUGGAUAUGUGCUCCUGCUGCAUGGUGGGGGUUGGAAAGCUCCGGCGGUUGUGGAUGGACUCGCGGCCUAUCAGCUUGUUGGUGGGGUAGUGGCCUACCAAGGCGGCGACGGGUAGCCGCCCUGAGAGGGUGACCGGCCACAUUGGGACUGAGAUACGGCCCAGACUCCUACGGGAGGCAGCAGUGGGGAAUAUUGCACAAUGGGCGCAAGCCUGAUGCAGCAACGCCGCGUGCGGGAUGACGGCCUUCGGGUUGUAAACCGCUUUCAGCAGGGACGAAGCUUUUUGUGACGGUACCUGCAGAAGAAGCACCGGCUAACUACGUG
Molecule: ribosomal RNA, 464 nt
Filed under: uncultured bacterium
Lineage: Bacteria
Description: partial 16S ribosomal RNA
Rfam family: Bacterial small subunit ribosomal RNA
Source: RNAcentral